Long non-coding RNA from Salvia miltiorrhiza (redroot sage), 2024 nucleotides. RefSeq lists it as uncharacterized. The record is from RefSeq and is a predicted model, not a curated record. The transcript has 2 exons. NCBI's taxonomy places the organism in Eukaryota, Viridiplantae, Streptophyta, Magnoliopsida, Lamiales, Lamiaceae.
UUGAAAUGAGAUUAUUGGACUCAAAUAAUUAAAUGAAUCAGGGCCCAAAUAAAAUAUUAGCAGCCCAACUGAAAUAAUUAACUCUGGGCCCAAGUUAGAUAAUUAAACUUAGCCCAAUUGAAAAGAAGUAAAAAUAAAAAUAAAACAAAGCCCAACUUUCAGCCCAAAAGAAGAAAAAUAAUUGAAUCUGGGUCCAGAAUCAAAUAAAAUGGUGAGGCCCAAGGAAAUGGCCCAACUCUUCUUAUUCACCCCCAACUCGUCUCUCUCUUUCUCUCAAUCAGAUACUCCCUUCGGUCCUCUCCCUCUCUCUCCCUCUCCCUCUCGAUCCGGCCUCAGCCGAGGCGCCUGCCGCCGCCGCUCCGCGACCUGGCGAGUCGGCGCUUCGCCUCUUCUCCCUCUCUUCUCAAAGCAGACGCCCCUCUCUGAUAAUACAUGCUCAAGGCAAAUAGGGUGAGCCCUAAUUCCUCCAUCACCUGAAUCCGCCACCACCACUUUUGAAAUCCGGCGAACGGCCGUUGCCGGUGGGUGAGGCCGCCCCUCCUUCGUCUGUCGUCCUUCCUCCCUCAAUUUCUCUCUCAAAAGUCCACCGAAGAAGAUAAACUGAGGGGUCCUAUUCUCUCCCAAAAUCAGAAAUCGCCGCCGCCGCCGCCUAUGGAAGAACGGCGAACGGUCGCUGGUCGUCGCCCUGCCUGACUCGGACGCUCCCUUCGCCCAUCUCCUUUCGGCUUCAAUCGUUCUUCUCUCCCUCGAAUCUAUUGAAGGAACGAAGAAGCCCUAAUUUCUGCCAGAGGAAAGAAUACCGCCUCCGCUGCAUCUGGAAGGCCGGCUUCGCCGCGCCGCUGCACUCGCGGCGGCGGCCGCUGGUCGUCUGGCCGCCGAGGGCGCCGAUCCUCGGCUGCCCCCCUCUUCAUCUCACUACCUUCCUUUUGAAAUCGAGUGCAAAGGAUGAAGGGAGGAAACAUAAUUUCCUCAGUCUGAUAUCGUUUCCGCCGUUGCUGCUCCGCGGUUUCCGGCUAGUAGGGGAAAGCCUGCCGUUGUUGUUUUCUCCAGGGUCGACGGUUCGAGCCACGCCACGCUGCUGCUGCUGGAUUCGGGCGAAGGGUACGCCGCCGAAUGCUGCUAUUCCAGAAUCGGCGAGGGCCAUCGCCGAGGUCAGGAGUCGCCUGCCCUUCACCGCUUGACGCCGUCGACGCUGCUGCCCCCGCGAGUCGCCGCCCAGACGUCGUUUCUCGGCCUGACUAAGCAGGGCAGCGUCCCUCUUUUCUAAAAGCUAAGUUCUCCUCUACCCUACUGUAAAGCUUGAUUUUCCUUAUUGUGCUUAGUAUGUUGAGUUGCUCGAGUUCUACACACUAAUUCUUACAUUAAAAAAAAUGUAACUGGUGUUCUGCAUUAUGGAGUGUAACUUGGCUAUGUUCAUUAUGCUUAUAUAGGUCUUCUAUCAUUUGAAUCUGAUCAUGAUUGAUGGUAUGAAAUGCGGAUGGAAUUUGAAUAACUGAGAUGGUGGAAUUUAGAAGGUGAUGAAGAAAGUUGAAGAAAGCCUACUUCCUUGAAGUUUGGCAGUAGUGCAGUAAAUGAUUUCUUCCUCAAAUGUUUCGAGUGUUGGGGUACUACUGGAUUGGAGCAGCUUGAAGUCUUGGCAGAGUAGUUAAGCCAAGUCUCCCUUCUCCUUGUGAUUGCUGGUGCGAAAUGGAAGGAAUGGGUGAAGUGUUGGGGUAGUAUAAAGGGUGGAUGGAGGCUGCACACUUGAGUGUGCUAGAGGAUAGGUAGGAGGGGUGGGGAGAAUGGGAUUGGAGGAGUGGGGCGGCUGGCAUAGGGGAAAGGGAAUGGUGUUGCAGAUUUUUGCACACACAUACACAUUUCUUUUUAUCUACUUUUGAUGUAGUAGGGUAGUAUGGAGUAGGAGUAGGAAGGAUGAUGCUUGUAAAUGUAGAUGUGAUGGCAAUAAGUAAAAUUGUUCUAUCUUGAUAAAUCCAAAUCUGUAAUAAUGUAUCACUUGAUCAAUGAAAUACUAGUUCCGGGUUUUU